RNAcentral lists this unclassified non-coding RNA (334 nucleotides) under soil metagenome. Its description in RNAcentral is "partial contains 5.8S ribosomal RNA, internal transcribed spacer 2, and large subunit ribosomal RNA". The stretch from base 1 to 120 matches the Rfam family "5.8S ribosomal RNA", at positions 35 to 154 of the family's 154-position model. The record is from RNAcentral.
GAUGAAGAACGUAGCGAAAUGCGAUAAGUAGUGUGAAUUGCAGAAUUCAGUGAAUCAUCGAAUCUUUGAACGCACAUUGCGCCCCUUGGUAUUCCAUGGGGCAUGCCUGUUCGAGCGUCAUUUGUACCUUCAAGCUUUGCUUGGUGUUGGGUGUUUGUCCAUUCUCUUGCAGAGGUACUCGCCUUAAAGUAAUUGGCAGCCAGUGUUUUGGUUUUGAAGCGCAGCACAAGUCGCGAUUCAACGCUAUACGCCAGCUUCCACAAGCCUUUUUCACUUUUGACCUCGGAUCAGGUAGGGAUACCCGCUGAACUUAAGCAUAUCAAUAAGCGGAGGA